AGCAGAGUUUUUAUUGGUGACCUGAGAAGGCACCUGCCUGUCAUGAUAAAACCAAGUCAUCAGAAAGUUGUUCAUAGCCUCAUAAGCCUUCUGAAAUUUGACAGCAUUUUCUUCCUCCUUAGCAACCUGAUAUUUACUUAUGUACCUACGCUUGUGGCAUUGUUUUCUCUUUUGUUUAGCAAGUUUCUGUCUCAAUGAGAGUGAGGAGUCUUUGUCUUGAGAAGCCUUAGCAAGUAAAGUUGCUUUAGAAAGGGGUUUCACUUUCUUCUUGAGAUCAGGUAGUGUGAACACUUUAAGUGUUAACCUUUUGUUGUAUUUCUUUCUUAUUUGCUUUAAUUUACUAUUAACUGCUUUGACAAAUCUCCAACGUUCCUCACUUAACAAACAAAGAUCAAAGUUGUGGUCUAGAAUAUCAAAUACAACAUACUGGAAAGCCGUUGUUAUCUUGCUGGCAAAGUUUUGAAUCUCAACCAUAACUCCAUUUGUCAAAAACUUCAAGUCACGUUUUUCUUUAGACCUCACGUUGAGGUCUAGUCCUACAUUUGUGCAGUUGGGAAAUGGAUCCCUGUACUUCGCGUAACUCACAGAACAGGUUUUCUUCACGUUGGGCUUUUUGGUUGGAGAGCAGGUUUUGAUUGAGGUUUUCAAAUUGGGCGGGAACAUGAUAAACUGCUGGUACACAGAAGGUUGAUUUGUUGAUGUCAGUGUUGAAGACUGGCUACAACCUUGUUCUGACGUGUUGGUUUUGCUUUCAACAGGGCCGUUACUUGGUGCCGUCGACAGGAUGAAAAAUGGCUCCCCUCCUGCGUUCAAAACUUUUAGUACAGGUACAGUACUAAACGGUUUCUUAAGCGGGCUGGAGGCUAUUUUUGAACCACUAAGGAUUCCACCCUCAUUUGAUUUUAGAAUAGCUGCAAUUUCACCAAAGUUGACUGCCGUUGUUUGAUGUACAUUAAGCAAUCGAGAGCCUAUCUUUGGCAGAUGAACUACAUCUACCAUCUCCCUGCUUUGAACAACUUUAACUGGAACUACCUCUUCGAUGUAACUGUCAUGUUCCAAUGUAGGUGAGAAAACAGGGCAGAGUAGGUUGUUUACAGUUUGUGUCCCUUUGAAAACUGCUUCAUUAGUUGAUUCUGUGUUACUCUCCCAUUCACUUGUUACAGACGUUUCUGACAGCAGACCUAGAGCCUGUCCUUCAGCUUCAUGGCAAUUCAGUGCAUAUGGGUGAUCUAGUUGAAGGCUUAAAAGCGGUAGAGAUGGUUGGAAAAUAUUUUUCUCAACUUGUUCAUCUGAUACGGCCAUAUCACAACAAAACCAAAUCGAUGACUUGUGGAGAAGAGGGUAAUGUAAAGCAUGUCACCUUUACUGAACCAUUUUGUGUGUGCCAACAAUUAAUAAUAGGCCUCAAUAAAAACGAUUUCAAGUCGGGGGGAGUUAAUAAUAACAAUGAAGACAAGAUUUACAGAAAAGCGACCAAGCAAUAAAAAGGUUUCACAAUAAGAUGACCAUUAGGCUGCAGCAAGUAAGGAACAACCUGAUAUUUUACAUCUUAAGCAAGGACUCCAGCACAUCAAGUUCCAUCGAGCUGGGAGAAUGAAAACAUAGUAGGGGUUUACGCGGCCUCCGACCAGACAUGAGUUUGAUCGCAAGGAUACAACAAAGAUAAUAUUGAUGAAUACCAGCUCUGUCUGUGAAAUGGUCGUACAAUCAAAUUGGAUUGUAUGCAUGUUUCAUGAAUGAGGCCCAUUGUCACAAUAACAAUUACACGGUUGUAUAUCCAAUAAAAUAUUUAAUGGACCAAUUUCAUGAAUUUAUGCAAUAUCAUCAUUUUCUUCCGCUUAUCCGGGGCUGGGUCGCGGGGGCAGCAGUCUAAGCAGAGAUGCCCAGACUUCCCUCUCCCCAGACACUUCCUCUAGCUCUUCCGGGGGGACACCGAGGCGUUCCCAGGCCAGCCGGGAGACAUAGUCCCUCCAGCGUGUCCUAGGUCUUCUCCGGGGUCUCCUCCCGAUGGGACGGGACCGGAACACCUUCCCAGGAAGGCGUUCCGGAGGCAUCCGAAACAGAUGCCCAAGCCACCUCAGCUGACCACUCUCGAUGGCUCUACUCUGAGCUCCUCCCGGGUGACCGAGCUUCUCAUCCUAUCUCUAAGGGUUCGCCCAGCCACCCUGCGGAGAAAGCUCAUUUCGGCCGCCUGUAUCCGGGAUCUUGUCCUUUCGGUCAUGACCCAAAGCUUAUGACCAUAGGUGAGAAUAGGAACGUAGAUUGACCGGUAAAUCGACCGCAUUAUUGCAGAAGCUGCACCGAUCCGUCUGUCAAUCUCCCGUUCCAUCCUUCCCUCCUUCGGGAACAAGACCCCUAGAUACUUAAACUCCUCCACUUGAGGCAGGCAAUAUAACUAUUAAAGGGAUAUUAUAACUAUUAAAGGGAUAGAUUGACCUAGAUUCAUAAUUGGUUGAAAUUACAAUUACCCUGAGAUUUUCUUGAAGGCCCAUGGGGUCAUUUUUCAGGUCAAACAAUCCCUUUAAUAUUUAAAUAACAUUGUUUCACAAUAUCCUUUCACCCACAAAUGAUUUUGUCUACAUACAAACGUGCAAUCUAAAAUGCAGACGUUAUAUUGGGACACAUUUUCUAUCAGAUACAUUUUAUUGCUCAAAUUGAAAAGCCCCAUAUCAAAUACCGGUAGAUAAAAUUCUUCACAGUUCCCUCAACUUCUCAACUUAAUGUGAGUUAAAAAAAAAAAUAUUCUAGUAAUGUGUCUUCUAAGUCGCUGUGAAAUAUCUUCAAAAUGUCAAUAAAUGGCUUUUAUCCCAAAGUAGCUUUUAGAAUUUUGAGUAGAGCUAAAUUAAACCCACUAGGCACACAGUCAUAGUUUUCAAUCUGGAAUUAGAAUUGAAAAGAGUGGUGUUCCUGAAACAGUUUCUCUUUGGCAAAUGUAAAAAAAUAAAAUGCCUUUAGUGGUGUGCAGGAACUCUUUGCAACUGCUUGAGGAUGCUGUUCCAAAGACAUUCUCUUGAACCUGACUUAAGGUUUUGUCAGACAAGGUUUGUAACUGAAUGUGGAUUUCUUGCCUUGACUCCAUGUGGCAGCUUGGGGUGUGUGAGCCACAGGACCGGAGUGUGUGUUCAUUCCAGCACAGAGAUUCCAGUGUAGACGUCCUUGUUGAGCGAGCAGCAUGAUAAGAACCACAACGGAAUUGGAUGUGCUUCACCAGACGCUGAGUCCAGUGGGAGUUGCUG
This is a long non-coding RNA of Esox lucius (northern pike), 3236 nucleotides long. The record is from Ensembl. Lineage: Eukaryota; Metazoa; Chordata; Actinopteri; Esociformes; Esocidae.